This 253-nucleotide ribosomal RNA is filed under the name uncultured bacterium. Its description in RNAcentral is "partial 16S ribosomal RNA". It matches the Rfam family "Bacterial small subunit ribosomal RNA", at positions 524 to 776 of the family's 1533-position model. The record is from RNAcentral.
UACAGAGGUCCCAAGCGUUGUUCGGAUUCACUGGGCGUAAAGGGUGCGUAGGUGGUGAGGUAAGUCGGAUGUGAAAGCUCGGAGCUCAACUCCGAAAUGGCAUUGGAAACUACCUUGCUUGAGGGUUGGAAGGGGGACUGGAAUUCUCGGUGUAGCAGUGAAAUGCGUAGAUAUCGAGAGGAACACCAGUGGCGAAGGCGAGUCCCUGGACAAUACCUGACACUGAGGCACGAAAGCUAGGGGAGCAAACAGG